GAACGGUAACAGGAAGCAGCUUGCUGCUUUGCUGACGAGUGGCGGACGGGUGAGUAAUGUCUGGGAAACUGCCUGAUGGAGGGGGAUAACUACUGGAAACGGUGGCUAAUACCGCAUAACGUCGCAAGACCAAAGAGGGGGACCUUCGGGCCUCUUGCCAUCAGAUGUGCCCAGAUGGGAUUAGCUGGUUGGUGAGGUAACGGCUCACCAAGGCGACGAUCCCUAGCUGGUCUGAGAGGAUGACUAGCCACACUGGAACUGAGACACGGUCCAGACUCCUACGGGAGGCAGCAGUGGGGAAUAUUGCACAAUGGGCGCAAGCCUGAUGCAGCCAUGCCGCGUGUAUGAAGAAGGCCUUCGGGUUGUAAAGUACUUUCAGCGGGGAGGAAGGUGUUGUGGUUAAUAACCGCAACAAUUGACGUUACCCGCAGAAGAAGCACCG
This 442-nucleotide ribosomal RNA is filed under the name Salmonella enterica subsp. enterica serovar Muenchen. RNAcentral describes it as "bacterial SSU rRNA". It matches the Rfam family "Bacterial small subunit ribosomal RNA", at positions 64 to 495 of the family's 1533-position model. The record is from RNAcentral. Lineage: Bacteria; Pseudomonadati; Pseudomonadota; Gammaproteobacteria; Enterobacterales; Enterobacteriaceae.